RNAcentral lists this unclassified non-coding RNA (630 nucleotides) under uncultured Albatrellus. RNAcentral's name for it is "sequence contains ITS1, 5.8S rRNA gene and ITS2". The stretch from base 215 to 368 matches the Rfam family "5.8S ribosomal RNA". The record is from RNAcentral. Lineage: Eukaryota; Fungi; Basidiomycota; Agaricomycetes; Russulales; Albatrellaceae.
CAUUAAAUGAAAGUCCGAGCGAGGUUGUAGCUGGCCCCCCCUCUGGGGGUGCAACGUGCACGCCUUGUCUCCAUCUUCAUCUCUCUCUCACCCCUGUGCAUCUCUGCGUGAGUUCGGAGCGUUGGUUCGCUUCGGACUUGCGUCCUUUUCCACAACAAACCCCAUCGCAUGUAUCGGAACGUCUCAUACUUUGCUGUCGAAGCAAAUAUUGUACAACUUUCAACAACGGAUCUCUUGGCUCUCGCAUCGAUGAAGAACGCAGCGAAAUGCGAUAAGUAAUGUGAAUUGCAGAAUUCAGUGAAUCAUCGAAUCUUUGAACGCACCUUGCGCCUCUUGGUAUUCCGAGGGGCACGCCUGUUUGAGUAUCGUGAAAUUCUCAACCCCAAUGCCUUUUGGUUUUUGGGCUUGGACUUUGGAGGUCUUUGCUGGUUCCCCCUUUGCUUUGGGGAUCGGCUCCUCUUGAAUGCAUUAGUGGAGCUUUCAUCGUCUGCUCUGCCUCUCGGUGUGAUAAUUCAUCUGCGCCGACGUGAGAGAAGAAAGGAAAGUGCCGCUUCGAACCGUCUCGUUUCGAGACUUUUUGAACCCUUUGAUCUCAAAUCAGGCGGGACUACCCGCUGAACUUAAGCAUAU